CAUGGACACACACACACACACACACACACACACCCCUACCUUUCCAGACACACACACGCACGCACACACCCCUACCUUUCCAGAAGUUUUCUUGUUUUCCUUUCACAGUUAAAUCUGUAGUCUACCUGGAAUUGAGUUUUGGAUAUGGUAUAAUGUUGAGUGGUUUUCCAUAUGGAUAACUAGAUGUCUUUUUCCUGCUCAUUCAGCGCCACCUUUUAUGUAAAUCAAAUAUCCACAUUUGUGUGUACCAGUUUUAAUUUUCAUGUUUUUGAUGAAUAAUGAUAUUGAACACUUUUCCUUAUGCUUAUUGGCCAUUGCUUUCUGUUUUUUCUUUAAUGAAGUAUCUGUUUUAAGUUUUGUGGGUGUGCGUGUUGUAAACUCCUGUUGUUUAUUAUCGUAACUGCCCAGUGGAUUCUCCCUGCCCACUGUACAGACAAAACCAAUUCACUGAGACUAUGGCAUUGUAAUAAAGAGUUUAAUUGACACAAGGCUGGCCAUGCCAUAUGGAGAUGGAUUUAUUACUGAAAUUAAUCUCUCCCAAAAUUUGGAGGUUAGGAUUUUUUAAGGAUAGUUUGGUGGGCCAGGGAGUCUGGGUUUUGGGUGGAGCCACAGGGCUGGUCAGCAGGGGUGCGGGUCUGUGGGUCCUCGUGGCCACUGAUGAAUCAUCAGAAAUGCUAAAAACCCGAAAAGAUGUCUCAAAAGGCCAAUCUCAGAUUCUACAAUAGCACUGUUACCUGUAGGAGUAAUUGAGGGUGUUGCAAAUCUUGUGACUUUUGAAAUAAGUAAUGAUAAUCAUUUAUGUCUACAUCUUAGCAGAAUUCAGGCUCCUUGUCCUUGUAACCUGGUGGUCUUUCUUUCAUUAGCUUUUCAAAGGCAGUUCAGUUUUGGGGAAGGGCUAUUAUCAUUUAAACUAUAAAUGUUGCCGGGUGCGGUGGCUCACGCCUGUAAUCCCAGC
Molecule: long non-coding RNA, 955 nt
Organism: Sapajus apella (tufted capuchin)
Lineage: Eukaryota; Metazoa; Chordata; Mammalia; Primates; Cebidae
Exons: 3
Source: RefSeq, a predicted model, not a curated record